UCACAAAUUUUUCUCCAUGGUCUCUUUCAGUAGCUGCUAGCACCAUUGAUCGUAAGUUUGAAACCAAGGUUCAACUGGGAAACAAAAAGAUUUAUGAGGUAAAGUUCCUUAAUGUUUUGUAAUAUUUUCUAUGCAUUAAGUGUUUGAAAUCGUGUGAUAUAAUCAAAUUUGUCUGAUUCAACCCAGUUCAUGAUCACAUGAAUAUCCAUACAUACCAG
RNAcentral lists this unclassified non-coding RNA (218 nucleotides) under Hevea brasiliensis (rubber tree). The record is from RNAcentral. Lineage: Eukaryota; Viridiplantae; Streptophyta; Magnoliopsida; Malpighiales; Euphorbiaceae.